AUACGUAGGGGGCUAGCGUUAUCUGGAAUUACUGGGCGUAAAGGGUGCGUAGGUGGUUUCUUAAGUCAGAAGUGAAAGGCUACGGCUCAACCGUAGUAAGCUUUUGAAACUAAGAGACUUGAGUGCAGGAGAGGAGAGUAGAAUUCCUAGUGUAGCGGUGAAAUGCGUAGAUAUUAGGAGGAAUACCAGUUGCGAAGGCGGCUCUCUGGACUGUAACUGACACUGAGGCACGAAAGCGUGGGGAGCAAACAGGAUUAGAUACCCUGGUAGUCCACGCCGUAAACGAUGAGUACUAGCUGUCGGGGGUUACCCCCCUCGGUGGCGCAGCUAACGCAUUAAGUACUCCGCCUGGGAAGUACGCUCGCAAGAGUGAAACUCAAAUGAAUUGACGGGG
Molecule: ribosomal RNA, 394 nt
Filed under: uncultured bacterium
Lineage: Bacteria
Description: partial 16S ribosomal RNA
Rfam family: Bacterial small subunit ribosomal RNA
Source: RNAcentral